RNAcentral lists this transfer-messenger RNA (402 nucleotides) under marine eukaryotic metagenome. RNAcentral's name for it is "Alphaproteobacteria transfer-messenger RNA". It matches the Rfam family "Alphaproteobacteria transfer-messenger RNA". From Rfam's summary of the family: Bacterial tmRNA, also known as 10Sa RNA or SsrA, is named for its dual tRNA and mRNA-like properties. Its role is to liberate the mRNA from a stalled ribosome. To accomplish this part of the tmRNA is used as a reading frame that ends in a translation stop signal. The record is from RNAcentral.
UCUUUCAACCUAUGUAUUUUCAUCCUAUAGUUUAUAUGUCGAUGUAAGUCGACUAUGGCGAUAAACAUAGUAUGGAAUAGGCAGAGCGGACCCGGGGGCGGUACCCGGCGCCUCCACCAUGAUGAGGAAAGAGUUGAUAAAAUUAACAGUUUUUUUGAUAUUAGACUGAAAUUUAAUCAACUAUUUUUUUGGGGGCGAAAUAGGAUCGACGCAUGUAGUAAAGAUAGUAUUUUCGCUCGGCAUGAUAUCCACCGUUAUCGGGUCAAUGUAGUAGUUGCAAAUGACAACACUGCUCCGGUUGCAAUGGCUGCAUAAUGCAGUUUGAGUAACCAAAAAUAAGUCCUGUCGGAUUGAGCUCUGGCAGGCGGGGUUAGAGGGUGCACCUGGCAACAGAAAGCCCCU